RNAcentral lists this transfer RNA (55 nucleotides) under Gnathostomula paradoxa. Its description in RNAcentral is "tRNA-Phe". The record is from RNAcentral. Lineage: Eukaryota; Metazoa; Gnathostomulida; Bursovaginoidea; Gnathostomulidae.
GAUUGUAUAGUUUAAAUAAAACAUAACAUUGAAGAUGUUAAAAUCACCACAACCA